GACUUGGGGCCGAGACCGAGCGGGGCGAUCCGAGGCGACGCUGGGCGGGGCCGCGGACUGGAUUUUGGGUUUUGAGUUCCUACGGGUUAUAGGAGUCUCUGAGAGUUUCACAGGACCAAUUAUGCAUCGUUUGGUUCUGCCAGCGGUGUUCGAGAAGAAGUGUAGCAGCUCUAGAGAAACAUACUUCGGCUCAGAAUGAGGAGGAUCCAAUUCAAAGCUGUCCCGCAGCCUUGGCGGCCCCUUCAGCGGAGAUGUCAAGCACACAUCACCAUGUCAUUGACAGAGAAAUCAAAUGUGAAACGGGAGACUGGCCCUUCUGGCCUUGACAAUGUAUGAUAGCCCUCUGCUUCAAGAGUGCCCACCUUAUUACUGUCCUGCAGGACUUGCUUAACAGGUUAUUCCUAUUAAAAGGAAUAGGCGCAGUGGCUCACAGCUAUAAUCCCUGCACUUUGGGAGGCUGAGGUGAGAGGAUUGCCUGAACC
Molecule: long non-coding RNA, 482 nt
Organism: Carlito syrichta (Philippine tarsier)
Lineage: Eukaryota; Metazoa; Chordata; Mammalia; Primates; Tarsiidae
Exons: 3
Source: RefSeq, a predicted model, not a curated record